ACCUGGCUGGCUCAGUCAGUAGAGCAUGUGACUCUUGAUCUUGGGGUCAUGAGUUCAAGCCCCAUGUUGGGUA
RNAcentral lists this transfer RNA (73 nucleotides) under Felis catus (domestic cat). It matches the Rfam family "tRNA". From Rfam's summary of the family: Transfer RNA (tRNA) molecules are approximately 80 nucleotides in length. Their secondary structure includes four short double-helical elements and three loops (D, anti-codon, and T loops). Further hydrogen bonds mediate the characteristic L-shaped molecular structure. tRNAs have two regions of fundamental functional importance: the anti-codon, which is responsible for specific mRNA codon recognition, and the 3' end, to which the tRNAs corresponding amino acid is attached (by aminoacyl-tRNA synthetases). tRNAs cope with the degeneracy of the genetic code in two manners: having more than one tRNA (with a specific anti-codon) for a particular amino acid; and 'wobble' base-pairing, i.e. permitting non-standard base-pairing at the 3rd anti-codon position. The record is from Rfam by way of RNAcentral. Lineage: Eukaryota; Metazoa; Chordata; Mammalia; Carnivora; Felidae. RNAcentral also lists the same sequence under 2 other names.